ACGGGAGGCAGCAGUGGGGAAUAUUGCACAAUGGGGGAAACCCUGAUGCAGCGACGCCGCGUGAGUGAAGAAGUAUUUCGGUAUGUAAAGCUCUAUCAGCAAGGAAGAAAAUGACGGUACUUGACUAAGAAGCCCCGGCUAACUACGUGCCAGCAGCCGCGGUAAUACGUAGGGGGCAAGCGUUAUCCGGAUUUACUGGGUGUAAAGGGCGCGUAGGCGGGAAAGCAAGUCAGAUGUGAAAUCUCUGGGCUCAACCCAGAAACUGCAUUUGAAACUGUUUUUCUUGAGUGUCGGAGAGGUAAACGGAAUUCCUAGUGUAGCGGUGAAAUGCGUAGAUAUUAGGAGGAACACCAGUGGCGAAGGCGGUUUACUGGACGAUAACUGACGCUGAGGCGCGAAAGCGUGGGGAGCAAACAGGAUUAGAUACCCUGGUA
Molecule: ribosomal RNA, 434 nt
Filed under: uncultured Lachnospiraceae bacterium
Lineage: Bacteria; Bacillati; Bacillota; Clostridia; Lachnospirales; Lachnospiraceae
Description: partial 16S ribosomal RNA
Rfam family: Bacterial small subunit ribosomal RNA
Source: RNAcentral